RNAcentral lists this ribosomal RNA (400 nucleotides) under uncultured bacterium. RNAcentral describes it as "bacterial SSU rRNA". It matches the Rfam family "Bacterial small subunit ribosomal RNA", at positions 355 to 752 of the family's 1533-position model. The record is from RNAcentral.
UAAGGAAUAUUGGUCAAUGGACGCAAGUCUGAACCAGCCAUGCCGCGUGCAGGAAGACGGCCUUAUGGGUUGUAAACUGCUUUUGUCAGGGAAUAAACCCCCGUACGAGUACGGGGCUGAAGGUACCUGAAGAAUAAGCAUCGGCUAACUCCGUGCCAGCAGCCGCGGUAAUACGGAGGAUGCGAGCGUUAUCCGGAUUCAUUGGGUUUAAAGGGUGCGCAGGCGGACUUAUAAGUCAGUGGUGAAAUCCUACGGCUCAACCGUGGCACUGCCAUUGAUACUGUAAGUCUUGAGUAUAGUUGAAGUGGGCGGAAUGUAGCAUGUAGCGGUGAAAUGCAUAGAUAUGCUACAGAACACCGAUAGCGAAGGCAGCUCACUAAGUUAUAACUGACGCUCAUGC